AUUGAACGCUGGCGGCAGGCCUAACACAUGCAAGUCGAACGAGUGGCGGACGGGUGAGUAACGUCUGGGAAACUGCCUGAUGGAGGGGGAUAACUACUGGAAACGGUAGCUAAUACCGCAUACCAUCAGAUGUGCCCAGAUGGGAGUAGCUAGUUGGUGGGGUAACGGCUCACCAAGGCGACGAUCCCUAGCUGGUCUGAGAGGAUGACCAGCCACACUGGAAGUGCGACACGGUCCAGACUCCGAGGGGGGGCAGCAGUGGGCAAGAUUGCACAAUGGGCGGAAGCCUGAUGCAGCCAUGCCGCGUGUAUGAAGAAGGCCUUCGGGUUGUAAAGUACUUUCAGCGGGGAGGCGUUACCCGCAGAAGAAGCACCGGCUAACUCCGGGCCAGCAGCCGCGGUAAUAC
RNAcentral lists this ribosomal RNA (406 nucleotides) under uncultured bacterium. RNAcentral's name for it is "partial 16S ribosomal RNA". It matches the Rfam family "Bacterial small subunit ribosomal RNA", at positions 29 to 526 of the family's 1533-position model. The record is from RNAcentral.